This 448-nucleotide ribosomal RNA is filed under the name uncultured bacterium. RNAcentral's name for it is "bacterial SSU rRNA". It matches the Rfam family "Bacterial small subunit ribosomal RNA", at positions 329 to 793 of the family's 1533-position model. The record is from RNAcentral.
GCCCAGACUCCUACGGGAGGCAGCAGUGGGGGAUAUUGCACAAUGGGGGGAACCCUGAUGCAGCGACGCCGCGUGGGUGAAGGAGUAUUUCGGUAUGUAAAGCCCUAUCAGCAGGGAAGAACAAUGACGGUACCUGACUAAGAAGCACCGGCUAACUCCGUGCCAGCAGCCGCGGUAAUACGGAGGAUGCGAGCGUUAUCCGGAUUUAUUGGGUUUAAAGGGUGCGUAGGCGGAUUUUUAAGUCAGCGGUAAAAUGUCCGGGCUCAACCCGGGCCGGCCGUUGAAACUGCAUGGCUGGAGUGCGGGAGGGGCAGGCGGAAUUCCUGGUGUAGCGGUGAAAUGCGUAGAUAUCAGGAGGAACACCGGCGGCGAAGGCGGCCUGCUGGACCGCGACUGACGUUGAGGCUCGAAAGCGUGGGGAGCGAACAGGAUUAGAUACCCCGGUACG